This 637-nucleotide ribosomal RNA is filed under the name uncultured Inocybe. Its description in RNAcentral is "eukaryotic LSU rRNA". The stretch from base 247 to 400 matches the Rfam family "5.8S ribosomal RNA". The record is from RNAcentral. Lineage: Eukaryota; Fungi; Basidiomycota; Agaricomycetes; Agaricales; Cortinariaceae.
CGAAUAAACUUGAACAGGCUGUUGCUGGCCCCUUGGGGUACGUGCACGCUUGUCAUCUUUAUCAUUUCUCCAACUGUGCACAUAUUGUAGACCUGGGGAUUUUUCGAAUUCUAUUCGAGUAAAGGGACUGCUGUGCUUUUUUAAUAAAGUCGGCUUUCCCUUGUAUUUUUCAGGUCUAUGUCACAACCACUAGAAUGUGUUUAGAAUGUUGAAUCAGGUCUUUGUACCUAUAUAAAAGUUAAAUACAACUUUCAGCAACGGAUCUCUUGGCUCUCGCAUCGAUGAAGAACGCAGCGAAAUGCGAUAAGUAAUGUGAAUUGCAGAAUUCAGUGAAUCAUCGAAUCUUUGAACGCAUCUUGCGCUCCUUGGUAUUCCGAGGAGCAUGCCUGUUUGAGUGUCAUUUGACUUCUCUCAACCACAUCAUCAUCAUGAUGAAUGUGGCUUGGAUGUGGAGGAUUUUGCAGGCUUCUUUCUCACAAGUAGUCUGCUCCUCUGAAAUGCAUUAGUGGUGUCUGAGCUGCUAUUUGGUGUGAUAAAUUAUCUAUGCCUCUGGUAUGCUGGUCAGCAUUGCUCAUAAACAAUAUUUGACAAAUUUGACCUCAAAUCAGGUAGGACUACCCGCUGAACUUAAGCAUAU